CUCGAUCGAUGCGUUUAGCGAGGCGCAUUCGCUGUGUUUCCGCGUUCCGCCGCGCUCCGUCGUACAGUUACAUCGCCCGGACGGAACGUAGGCAGAUAUACAUGUACGAACGAUGAUCGUGACACGGGCGACGAACAAUGACGCGAUUAACUAUCGCUUCUAUUCUAACCCCACGGACUCUAGUCUCGCGGCUCGGACACGACCGCGCCGCUGAUGAACGACGUAGUUUUAAUUACUCUGACCCGCUCAUAUAGAGUGUAAUGCCUCGCGAUAAAUACACUGUCGUCGUUGACGAUGAAUCAGUUAUAUAGUCGCGAACUAUACGCCUACGCUAAAGAGAGCCAAGUUUCUAUUUUGCUACAUGUGGCUGGCACUACGCGACUCUCUCUCUCUUUAUUCUCCGCGAAUCAGUCGAGCUCCGUCGGAUGGAGAGACGCGGCGCACGCUUGUCGCCUUCUAUCUUAUGUUUCGUGUGCCUCUACAAUUUCCUCGGCGACGACCUGUGGAUACGUCUUGUUUUUCGAUACGCUAUUGCAUCUCGUUUAAUACGACAGAAUUGAUACGUAGAAGACACGCGAGUGAGGUUGCCUGCCGUGUCGUUUAUCCUUCGUUCGGCGAGCCUGAAAGCAAGUCAAGGAAUUCGUUCUGGAGGCUGUUAUUUUCGAAUGUACCGUGUACUUCAGCAUGGUACAGAGAAGAGUUUCUAAGGUCUUAUUUACGAUCUAAUAAAACAUAUCGUCGGAUCCCGAUUACGAGCUAUGUAUUACUUAAAAGUGUCCUUAUACAACGCGAAAACGUGUUUCCUCGGAAAUUAUGGCCCUUAAUAUUUACAUCAUAGUACCCGCCUUGUUUAAAACACAAAAGGCAGGAGAAUCUUAUGGAAAUCGUAUUCAAAUCGUAUCGCGGAACGAUAGAUAUCGUUAAGAAGCAACUUGAUAACUACUUCGUUUUAUUCAUUCCGUCCUCGCUCCUGUAAGCUCAGAAGCUCUCCGUUCUACAUUUUAAUGACGCAAAAAUUCAUCUUUUCCCACUGUAUUUCAUUGUACUGGUCUUCGAACGAGAAGUUGUUUGCGAGAACGCGAAUCCCGAGCAAACUCAAUAGAAUAAAGGGUACUCAGUGGUUGUUCACUGAACGAGAUAUAUAUAUAUAUAUGUAUUUAUAUAUACAUAUAUAUAUGUGUGUGUAUAACAAAGUUAUCGUAAUUUUAUGAAAGAAGAAAUAGGAAAAAAGGAGGAAAAGCUCGUUUUCAUCGAUAUUACCCGAGUUCGAAACUCAGAUUGUGAAUCUUUCUUUUCGAUACAAUAGAAUAUAGCCUCAACGGCUCUGUUACGUGAGAACACAUUCAAGUUUCGUGUCAUCUGUUUCGAAUUAAGUCCAUUGGUUGUUAUGCAAGUAUGUAUAUAUGCGUGCUGUGUAUCGAUUGCCAGUACAAAGCAAGGGAAUAUGCAUCAUUACGCAACUUCUUAUCGAACGAGUUGUUUAAUAGUGUCUAAAAAUGUUACUAUCGUUUCCAUUGCAUACGAUAGCAACAGUCUUCUUCCCCGUGACUCGUAUAUUCGUCAACAAUAAUAUCGGUCUUAUGAGCGAUUAUUCGUCGCUUACGAGUUAUUUCUCCUACACGUCUAUGUAACCGGAAAAUCGUUCCUUAUGUCAUAAAAUGUAUAACGUUGAACGAACUGGUUUAUUACCUUGGAACUAUCUACAACGUUGAAAUCGAGCAAUUGUAUGUAUAUACGAGCGUAAGUUUGGAAUUUCAAAUGACCAAGUUCUAACCUAACAACUGACCGACAUUUUCCGCGAUACCUACUUGUCUUUCCCCAUUGAUAUUUGCCGAAUAAACCGUGUUUACCUUUAUGAAAAGCAGUAUCUUCCUUAUAUCGUUCGACCGAUAAUAUCACCGUAUAAAAAUGAACUAUAGUCUGUAUACAUAUUUAAAGAUACAUAUCUUACGAUUAUACGUUAAAUUUUAUUUUCAAUCGAAUUUCAAUAUCCCUUAAUUAGUCACGAUUGAUUAAUUUAAUUUGCUUUCAAAUUCUACUAGUAUUCUACAGGCCUGGACAAGUUUCGUCACAUAAAAAUUGAGAAUAACAACUUGAGAUAAUGGAUCACACUUUACCUCCUAAUUCAAUAAUUUAUAUUUUGUAAUACCGUAUUUAUAACUAAUUUACUACUAACUUAAAUGUAAAAAAGUGAGAAAUAUCGAGUAUAAUAUUGAAUAACUUGACAUGACACACGAGUUGCAAAUAUCCAGACAAAAACAAAGAAUUGUAAACUAUUAUAAUUUCCUCUUUCACAACCAAAAUCGAAUUAUCAAACUUACCAAGUAUCGAGCAUCUAGCUCACGAUGAAGAAAAAAAUACUAGCAAGCCUAUUUACGAAAUCCUAGACUAUCAAAAAAUACCACAAGAUCCUACGAUAUAAAACCUACCAUUACACGAAAACGAGCUAGUCGCGCCUCUAGCGAAAGUGUUAAUAUUGAUAGAGCUACGAGGAAUAACAGACAAACAGCGAGAUAGUUUUAGGCAGCGUGUACCUAAGCGUGUAUAACGGCAGGGACCUUUUGGGAUACGAAGAACAAGAACAAGAACAAGAAGAAGUAGGUAUCUCAGGUAGACGGGCCUCGAGAUAGGUUCAGUAGAAACUGGAAGAAGCUGGACGCAAAAGGUUUCCUUUAAAGAAAACAAAAUGAGAGAGAAAGGGAAAGAAAACACGAGGAAAAAAAGAGAAGAAAAAAAGAGCAGCAGGUGUCGGCACAAUUCAAGCCUUCAAAGGGAGAGAGAGAGCUCUUAAAUUUUUUAACUCAAACAUAACGACGGAUGAUACACACCAUCCCUUUCUUCUUCGCUCAUUUUGCGUGAGAAGAUUUUGUGUAUUUCCGUGCACGCGAACGGGGACACGAUGCUAUUCGAAGGAUUACACAGGAAUAUGUUUAUGUCGAAUAUCAAAUGACUAAUAUAUGCUCGCGAAUGCAUCUCCAAUGCAAAAGGACAGCCAAGCAAUAACGAUGUUAUUUCUAGUUAAACUGGGAAAGUCUACACCAAAUUAUAAAUUUCUACUGUGGCUUCAUCGUUAUGAACAGUUUUUAAUAUUAUAUAAAAUACAUUCUAGAAUAUUCUGUAAAUAACAAACCAGGAAAAUCUCUGUCUUUAGACAGUUUAGUCUAUUGCAUCCUAUACAAUAAGAUAGAUGCUCAACGUGACGCAAUAAAAAUAUUAUUUCA
This is a long non-coding RNA of Bombus terrestris (buff-tailed bumblebee), 3221 nucleotides long. RefSeq lists it as uncharacterized. The record is from RefSeq and is a predicted model, not a curated record. Lineage: Eukaryota; Metazoa; Arthropoda; Insecta; Hymenoptera; Apidae. The transcript has 2 exons.